This 492-nucleotide ribosomal RNA is filed under the name uncultured bacterium. RNAcentral describes it as "partial 16S ribosomal RNA". It matches the Rfam family "Bacterial small subunit ribosomal RNA", at positions 29 to 507 of the family's 1533-position model. The record is from RNAcentral.
AGUGAACGCUGGCGGUAGGCCUAACACAUGCAAGUCGAACGGCAGCACAGUAAGAGCUUGCUCUUACGGGUGGCGAGUGGCGGACGGGUGAGGAAUACAUCGGAAUCUACUUUUUCGUGGGGGAUAACGUAGGGAAACUUACGCUAAUACCGCAUACGACCUACGGGUGAAAGCAGGGGAUCUUCGGACCUUGCGCGAUUGAAUGAGCCGAUGUCGGAUUAGCUAGUUGGCGGGGUAAAGGCCCACCAAGGCGACGAUCCGUAGCUGGUCUGAGAGGAUGAUCAGCCACACUGGAACUGAGACACGGUCCAGACUCCUACGGGAGGCAGCAGUGGGGAAUAUUGGACAAUGGGCGCAAGCCUGAUCCAGCCAGACCGCGUGGGUGAAGAAGGCCUUCGGGUUGUAAAGCCCUUUUGUUGGGAAAGAAAAGCAGCAGGUUAAUACCCCGCUGUUCUGACGGUACCCAAUGAAUAAGCACCGGCUAACUUCGUG